This 433-nucleotide ribosomal RNA is filed under the name uncultured bacterium. RNAcentral's name for it is "partial 16S ribosomal RNA". It matches the Rfam family "Bacterial small subunit ribosomal RNA", at positions 29 to 507 of the family's 1533-position model. The record is from RNAcentral.
AACGAACGCUGGCGGCAUGCCUAACACAUGCAAGUCGAACGAGACCUUCGGGUCUAGUGGCGCACGGGUGCGUAACGCGUGGGAACCUGCCCUUAGGUUCGGAAUAACUCCCCGAAAGGGGUGCUAAUACCGGAUAAUGUCUUCGGACCAAAGAUUUAUCGCCUUUGGAUGGGCCCGCGUUGGAUUAGCUAGUUGGUAGGGUAAAAGCCUACCAAGGCGACGAUCCAUAGCUGGUCUGAGAGGAUGAUCAGCCACACUGGGACUGAGACACGGCCCAGACUCCUACGGGAGGCAGCAGUGGGGAAUAUUGGAAAAUGGGCGAAAGCCUGAUCCAGCAAUGCCGCGUGAGUGAUGAAGGCCUUAGGGUUGUAAAACUCUUUUAACCGGGAUGAUAAUGACAGUACCGGGAGAAUAAGCGCCGGCUAACUACGUG